RNAcentral lists this long non-coding RNA (268 nucleotides) under Mytilus galloprovincialis (Mediterranean mussel). The record is from RNAcentral. Lineage: Eukaryota; Metazoa; Mollusca; Bivalvia; Mytilida; Mytilidae.
CAUAAAUAAAAAAGAAAAUUUCUUCAAACAUUUUUUGAGAGGAUUAAUAUUCAACAGCAUAGUGAAUUGCUCUAAGAGAAACAAAAAUUUAAGUUCAUUAGAACACAUUCAUUCUGUGUCAGAAACCUAUGCUGUGUCAACUAUUUAAUCACAAUCCAAAUUUAGAGCUGAAUCCAGCUUGAAUGUUGUGUCCAUACUUGCCCUAACCGUUCAGGGUUCAACCUCUGCGGUCGUAUAAAGCUACGCCCUGCGGAGCAUCUGGUUGUUA